ACGUGUUACUACCUUUACCGUAACACGUGUUACUGUUACUACCUUUACCGUAACACGUGUCACUGUUACUGCCCUUACCGUAACAUGUGUCCGGUCUGUUCCAGGUUCAGGAACGUGGUGUUCGACAUCGUGCCCGGCCCGGAGAGAGGGAGCUUCACCGUCAAAGCCCGGUUCCUGGGAGUGGAGAUGGAGGAGUUCCUGCUGCAGUACCAGGACCUGCUGCAGCUGCAGUAUGAAGGCGUGGCGGUGAUGAAGAUGUUCGACAAAGCGAAGAUCAACGUAAACCUGCUCAUCUUCCUUCUCAACAAAAAGUUCUUCAAGAAAUGAACCAGAGUGAAGCUCUUACCUUUCACUCCUAUCUCUGAUGAUGAUUAUAUACAGCAGAGUGAAGCUCUCCCCUCUCACUCCUAUCUCUGAUGAUGAUUAUAUACAGCAGAGUGAAGCUCUCCCCUCUCACUCCUAUCUCUGAUGAUGAUUAUAUACAGCAGAGUGAAGCUCUCCCCUCUCACUCCUAUCUCUGAUGAUGAUUAUAUACAGCAGAGUGAAGCUCUCACCCCUCACUCCUAUCUCUGAUGAUGAUUAUAUACAGCAGAGUGAAGCUCUCCCCUCUCACUCCUAUCUCUGAUGAUGAUAUACAGCAGCGUGAAUGAAGCAUCUCUGUUUUUAUAUCAUUACUUAUCAAUCAUGAACUUUAUUGACACUUUUGUUGUUGUUGUUGUUGUUGUUACAUUAUCUCCAAAGCUGAGUUACAUUUUAAUGUGUUAUUGCACGUUACCAAGAGAACAGCAUAGAUGAAUAACCAUGAUACAGAUGACUCACCUUCUAUACCUGACUACAGAGUGAGAAAUCCUGCUGCUCCAAUCUCUGUUCACCUGUUUUAGUUUGUUUCACAAACAUCUAUGAUGCCAAUAACUGUAAAUAUUUUCUGUCACUUCCUGUUUGUUUUCACCUCAUUAAAUAUCUGAACAUCCUGACCUGUUGUUUCUCAUUCAUUGAACCUGGUAUUAGGCAGGAAGUGAUUCACCUGUAAACAACUGGAGGUUUCAUGAAUCAUGUUUUUAUUCCACAUUUUCAGAAACGGAGUAAAAGAAGAAAAAUAUAUCACAGAUUCAUCAGAGACGUUUCUAUCUGCUAACAGGCUUACAAAAAUACUCUCAUUUAUUUUAAACUUCAAGUAUCUACGAACAACAAGCUCCAUCACCUCAACCAGUCCAAACCAUUACAUCUGGUUUCAUCCAUUUUAAAACUGUAAUCGUGUAGAAUGCAGUCUGAACCAGUUUAAUCUGGUUUGAUCCUGUUUAAACCAGUUGGAUCAGGUUCAAUCCAGUUAAACCAUCCUAUUCCAAUUUACUCCAUUUAUAACUGUUUUAAUUAAAAUAGGACCAGUUUAAUCCUGGUUAAACCAGUUGAAUGCGGUUCAAACCAAGAUAUACUAUUUUAUUCUAAUUUAAUCCAGCUAAACUGGUUUAACUCAGUUUGGAUCAAACUGAAUCCAGUGUAAACAGUCCUUCACAUCUUAAUGGCACAAACGUUUUCUCCUCUGUUCAAAGUGUCAACAGGAAGCUUCUUAAAAACAUUUCAGUCGCAGUCAAACUUUAUAAACAAUCAAAGAUUCAGAGACGCUCGUUUCAGAUCAACUUUACAAAAACAGAGUUGAACGUGUUUUCCUCUGCACGUAGAGAACCCUAACCCUGUCCCAUUUACUGCUAUCCUGGCUAUCUGCAGCUAUCCGUGGUUAUCUGUGGUUAUCUAUAUCUGUGGCUAUCUGUGUUUAUCUGUAUCUGUAGUUAUCUGUAUCUGUAGUUAUCUGUGUUUAUCUGUAUCUGUAGUUAUCCGUGGCUAUCUGUGUUUAUCUGUGGCUAUCUGUAGCUAUCUGUGGCUAUCUGUGUUUAUCUGUAGUUAUCUGUGGCUAUCUCUAGCUAUCUGUAGCUAUCUGUGGGUAUCUGUAGUUAUCUGUGGCUAUCUUUAGCUAUCUGUAGUUAUCUGUGGCUAUCUGUUUAUCUGUAGCUAUCUGUGGCUAUCUUUAGCUAUCUGUUGCUAUCUGUGUUUAUCUGUAUCUGUGGCUAUCUGUAGCUAUC
Molecule: RNA transcript, 2078 nt
Organism: Notothenia coriiceps (black rockcod)
Lineage: Eukaryota; Metazoa; Chordata; Actinopteri; Perciformes; Nototheniidae
Gene name: ras GTPase-activating-like protein IQGAP3
Exons: 3
Source: RefSeq, a predicted model, not a curated record